GGCCGCUUCGAAUAUCGGUUUAGUUCGCCGCCCUCUCAAGGCGGAGAGACGGGUUCGACUCCCGUAGUGGCUAUCA
RNAcentral lists this transfer RNA (76 nucleotides) under Treponema ruminis. RNAcentral's name for it is "tRNA-Glu". It matches the Rfam family "tRNA". From Rfam's summary of the family: Transfer RNA (tRNA) molecules are approximately 80 nucleotides in length. Their secondary structure includes four short double-helical elements and three loops (D, anti-codon, and T loops). Further hydrogen bonds mediate the characteristic L-shaped molecular structure. tRNAs have two regions of fundamental functional importance: the anti-codon, which is responsible for specific mRNA codon recognition, and the 3' end, to which the tRNAs corresponding amino acid is attached (by aminoacyl-tRNA synthetases). tRNAs cope with the degeneracy of the genetic code in two manners: having more than one tRNA (with a specific anti-codon) for a particular amino acid; and 'wobble' base-pairing, i.e. permitting non-standard base-pairing at the 3rd anti-codon position. Lineage: Bacteria; Pseudomonadati; Spirochaetota; Spirochaetia; Treponematales; Treponemataceae. The record is from RNAcentral.